GUUUCCCCGAAAAUAAGACAGGGUCUUAUAUUAAUUUUUGCUCCCAAAGAUGCACUAGGUCUUAUUUUCAGGGGAUGUCUUAUUUUUCCAUGAAGAAGAGCUCACAUUUAUUGUUGAACAACAAAAUGAACAUUUAUUAUAUACUGUAAAGUAGUUGUCAUCACAAACCAGCAUAACCAGACAAACUGUUAAUCCUAUCAAGAAUGUCUUGUUACUACCAUUAUUUACAUGUGCAACAAUCUAUGGUACCUCUUGCAGUUUAGGUUUCACAAGGUUUCCACGCUGAUUUCUCUCUAUUCUAGUUUCAAUGUAGUCAUGAAUGAUGAAUAAUAUAAUAUACUAUAAUAAUAAUAUGAUAAUAUAAUAAUAAUAUAAUGAUAUACAAUAUAUUAAUUAGAUAAUAUAAUAAUAGGAUAAUAUAAUAGAAUAAUAGAAUGGAAUAGAAUGAUAUAAAAUAUAUUAAUAGGAUAAUAUAAAAUGGAAUAUAAUAAUAAUAAAAGAAUAUGCUAAUAAUGAUAAAAUAAUAAUAUGAUAAUAUAAUUGAAUAAUAGUAUAGAAUAUAAUGAUAUAAAAUAUAUUAAUAGGACAAUAUAAAAUGGAAUAUAAUAAUAACAGAAUAAUAAUAUGAAAAUAUAAUAGAAUAAUAAUAGAAUAAUAAUAUAAUGAUAUAAUAAUAAUAAUAAUAGAAAAAUAUAAUAUAAUGAUAUAAAAUAUAUUAAUAGGAUAAUAUAAUAAUGGGAUAUAAUAAUAGUAACAGAAUAUGAUGAUAAUAAUAUGGCAAUAGAAUAAUAGUAUAAAAUAAUGUUUCAGGGCAUAGGAUAGGAAUAAGGAUGAGAGGAGAAUCCCAAUGCGUCCUGUACCUUUAAGAAACUGAAAGAGCAGUACGAGUGGAAAGCCCUCUUCCUUCCCUCCCUCCUUCCCUUGCCCUGGCUCCAGGAGCCAAUCAGAAGCCUUGGGGGCGAAGCAAGCAUGGCCAGGAAGCAUGGCCUUGUCUCCGGAGGAAGAAACGGCAGCGCAGCAGCAGCCACGGAGGCUGGGGACAGGCAAGGCAAGGCAAGGCCAGCAAGCACUUUCUCUCCCUCCCUCCCUCCCUCCCUCCGGUGUGUAUGAGGAGUGCUGCUUUAGCCCUGCAGCCAUGCUUCCCAAUGGAACUCUGCUGCAGCCUUAGUUGCUAGGUCUUACUUUCAGGGGAGGCCUUAUAUUUGGCAAUCCCCCCAAACCCCUGCUAGGUCUUAUUCUUUGGGGAGGUCUUAUUUUCGGGGAAACACGGUAGCUCCAUCUUCCAAAAUCCUAGAACCUUUUGAGGUAACGCAAAUGUAACAAGUUAAAUCUUGUUUUUUUUAUUUUUACACCUCUGCAAUGAUUCAACUUUGAAGAAAAUGAUGCUAUUGUCAAGAGACACAGCAGGAGCUCUCUCACCCUAAGAAGGCAAUGCCUCCUCUGCAUACGUUUUGCCAAGAAGACCCCCCCCCCCCAACAAGAUUGCCAUAAAUCAAGGUCAACUUAAGAAGUGUGAUGACAGCUGAACCAAGGUGUAUACUUUCUCCCUGCUCUCACUUUGCACAAGUGAACACCCAAACUGAGAAAUUGCACCGUGUAUGGUUAUUUGAGCAUUGAGUCUCCUUUGCUACAAGAAUUUUAAGCAGUUUUGGAAUUCAACAUCCAGACUGAGGGAGAAGUGUAAGCUCUCCUAGCAGACAAAGAAUACAGAAAAGAAAACAGUUUCUUGGCAUUGUGAGGAUCAAGUGAUGAAUGCGUAUGUGUAGAGGACUCCUCUGACCUUUUGACCCCGGAGCCAUCUCAUUGCCAGAGCCAACCUGGUUUGUGGUGCCACAUGAAAGGAAGACGCAAGGCAGCAACAUUUUUAUCAAGUCUUCUUGCCAUGAUUUCAUCCGUCUCCUUGUACAUCACUUACAACUGCGUCAUUCCACACUGCAAAACUGUGCUUUAAAAAUUCAUUACUUUCAGAAAGACACAAGGCUUACUUGAAAACUUUCCUACAUCAGGAAGAUACAUGGAGCAAUUUUGUCCUGGUGUUCCUGAACUGAAGGGCCAAAGACCGAGGAACAGUUGUUGGCCAGGGGACCAAGGCCCUCCAUGAGACUACACCCUCUAACUGCCCCCAGGAAAGUUACCAUGGCAAAGACGAGAUCAUUUUUUGAACCCAAGACUGUAUAGCUGUGAUGCUGUGAAUGAGAGAAUGUCUAGACCAGUGGUUCCCAGCCUCUGAUCUUCCGGGUAGUUUGGACUUCAGCUCCAAAGUGUGCACAUUGCUCUUCUUUUGGUUAUUUCCCCUCACAUUCAGAGGUUGGAUUUAUUUAGGGCCAAUGGUGUAUACACCAUCAGAAACAGUUAAUCGUCUGUUCCUGGAAGAUUUGAAGGAUGGGGUGAAGGUAGACUGUUUUUUGGGGGCAAUACCAAAAGUCAGUGCACAUCUUGGCAUCAUUUGGGUGAAAGUUCUUUGGGUUCUGGGGCCUGGGAACUGAGAACGAGUCUGCCCUUGGGGCUGACAUGGGACCUUGCUCUCCCUUUUUGAGUUCUGGAGCUUGCAAGAUUGGAGGGGGGGGGGCUCUAAGUAUGCCUUUUUAUAUUUAUUUAUUUAUUUUUAUUUUUUAUCUUAUCUUUAAGUAUGCCUUAAGACAACCAUCUUGGGGGUGAGAAACCCUUAGAUUGUAUGGCCCUCAGGAUUAGGUGUUUUCACCCAAGGGCAGACUGAGAGGUUUGUCACAAGUAAACACCUGCCCCAGCUAAGAUCUGCACCAGGUUGCUUCCCCCACCUGCCCAAAGCAGGUUUUCCAGGUUUAAAUCUUAAUUACCUAAUAGGACAAAUAAAUUGGUCCUUAUUUCAUCCAGUUUUGUCUGUCUACUUUCAUUAUUUCAGAGGUGGUCAUCACUGUCUUUAUCAGAGGUGGACUCGCACUUGCCUAAAGAACACAAAGCUACAUCCGCCAGUUAUAUUAGGAGUAGAGAGUUGAAAAGAAGCACAAUCUGGUCCCAUCCAAAUAGCAUUGGUAAUUUCUGUACUAUACCAGUGGGCUGUAUUUGUUAAACUGCCUUUCCCUAAUCUAAGGAGGCAAGUUCAGCACAGGCAUUUCCUAAUUCAAUUUUCUGCAAGACAGAGUUUCAACUGAUGAAAGCUUUUAGAUAUGCAGAGUAACAGGGUUUCUGCCAGGCCCAUGGACAGGUAGUCAUGGGGAAACCAACCAAAAAACCUACUCAUUAAAAAAAAAGAAAAAAAGUCAGACAAAGGUGAGAUGCUCUCUUCUCAGAAGAAUGUUUUCAGUAGAUUUUUGCAUUGCUGGCCCAGAACUGGGCCAGAUGCCCUUGAAGUAUCUUCCCUCUCUCUGUUUCUAGGUGCUGGAGCAAGAAACCUCUAUUGCAAUCACUUGUGCUACUUUCAACUAUACAAUAAGGCAGUGCAGGAAGAGUGCUGAAAUCCAGUGCAUUACACUGUCUGAGUUUAAAACUAAUAAGGUGAUCUUUUACAGCAGGCCUACCCAGAUGAUUUUUAAAAUAUGAAUUGUUUUUUUAAUAUACACUGGUUUUACAUUAGUUUUUUUUACUGAUGUUAUGUAUCAAAUUUGCUGUUGUUCCCCAACUUGAUCCAUGUGGUGUACAUAAUAUCAUCAUCAUCAUCAUCAUCAUCAUCAUCAUCAUUGUACUUCGCAAAACUGUCAUUAUUUCAAACUCAUUCUCCUCAUUACUCCAAUGACAUUUAAAUAGCAUGAUUUCAUGUUGAGGCUAAUGUGUUAUCGCCUAUCUCAACAGUUUUAUUGUUAAGCUUAACUUAACCUUGUUAUCUUGAUAAGAGGCUGAAACCCUAAACACACAAAGCAAUGACAAUCAAAACAAGUGAAUAACCUUGAUAGCUGACCUUUUCAGAGUCACUCUUCUAAUGCUAAAAAGCCCUAUAUUUGUACACAAAUAAAUCUACUGUGUGCAGUUUGCAAAGGUUCUUCAAAGUACCAUAGGAACAAGAUGUCUUGUUUUGCUUACCAGCACACAAGGUGGUUUUGCAACCACAGCACCAAAUUGUUUCAAUAAAGGAAAAGAUUCCAUGUGGUACAAUCACUUGUUUAGCCUGAUAUCUGUCAUUCUUAGCCCUGACGGGUGUGCAAAAGCUGCAACUAAAAAUCUCAAAAUUUUUCAAAAGCAAUAGCUGUAAGAGUCUUCUGUAACAAAGGUUUUUUACGGCAUAAACUUUCUUGGCUUACAACCCACUUCAUCCGAUGGGCAGAGAGUAAUGUUAGAAGGUACAGUAGAGUCUCGCUUAUCCAACCUUCACUUAUCCAACAUUCUGUAUUAUCCAACACAGUCUGCCUCCCACCCGGAUCCACAGCUGUUUCUCUAGGCAGCAACGCGCAAUGGGCCAACACACCCAACAACAACACAAGUGCAGCCACACUCUCAAAUAAAUGGCAGACUUGUUGUAAAACAUGAUGUUUUCAUAGAAUCAUAGAAUCGUAGAGUUGGAAGAGAACUAGAGUUGGAAGACGAUGUAGAGUCGUGGAGUUGGGCCAUCCAGUCCAACCCCCUGCAAGAAGCAGGAAAAUCUCAUUCAAAAUCACAUUUUGGUGCUUAAUUUGUAAAAUCAUAACAUAAUUAGACGUUUAAUAGGCUUAUCCUUAGUCCCUCCUUAUUAUCCAACAUUUUCGUUUAUCCAACAUUCUGCCGGCCCGUUUAUGUUGGAUAAGAGUGACUCUAUUAUAUAGAUAAACAGUUUACAUAGCUUAGGCAUGAAUUAGAUUAGCAUUACCAUUUCCCAUGUUUAUUGUGCUUGAAUUAUUGGAAUGGCCAGGAUAACACUUAUGGAUAAUGUGAUUAAUUGUGAAGGUAUUGUUUUAAAUGUUUUUAAUUGUUGUAAUGUAUUCUAUAAUUCUAUUUUAAAUGUUCAUUUUAGUUGCACAUUAUUUUUAAGGCAUCAAAUAGUUGCCUAUGUGUAAAGCUGCCUUGAGUCCCCUCCAGGGUUGAAAAAGGUGGGGGAGAAAUGUCGUAAAUAAAUAAAUAAAUUAAAUUAAAUUUGAUGUCUCUCUUUUAUCUGCUGCAGCUAUCUCUGUAUUUGCAAUAUUGCAUAUUAUUUGUUUUUCUCUUUGGACUUUAUUGUAUAUUUUAUAGUUGUUUGACUCUUUAUAGCCACAUAUGAGCUGUACAAUCACCAGAACACACAGAAUACAGUGAGAUUCUUUAAAAUACAAUAAAACUAUAUAACAAUUAUGA
Long non-coding RNA from Anolis carolinensis (green anole), 5217 nucleotides. RefSeq lists it as uncharacterized. The transcript is spliced from 2 exons. NCBI's taxonomy places the organism in Eukaryota, Metazoa, Chordata, Lepidosauria, Squamata, Anolidae. The record is from RefSeq and is a predicted model, not a curated record.